UCACGAAUCAUUGGCAAUGCGCGCAAGCGUGACCAUGCAAUGCCGCGUGGGCGAUGAAGGCCUUCGGGUUGUAAAGCCCUGUCAGGGGUGAGGAAACGUACUUCGGUACUUGACGUUAACCCCAGAGGAAGUCACGGCUAACUCCGUGCCAGCAGCCGCGGUAAGACGGAGGUGGCAAACGUUGCUCGGAAUCACUGGGCUUAAAGGGCGUGUAGGCGGUCGUCUAAGUCGGGUGUGAAAUCCCUCGGCUCAACCGAGGAACUGCAUCCGAAACUGGACGACUAGAGUGCGGGAGGGGCAAGUGGAACUCCAGGUGUAGCGGUGAAAUGCGUAGAUAUCUGGAGGAACGCCGGUGGCGAAAGCGACUUGCUGGACCGCAACUGACGCUGAGGCGCGAAAGCUAGGGGAGCGAACGGGAUUAGAUACCCCCGUAGUCC
This 437-nucleotide ribosomal RNA is filed under the name uncultured prokaryote. RNAcentral's name for it is "bacterial SSU rRNA". It matches the Rfam family "Bacterial small subunit ribosomal RNA", at positions 355 to 796 of the family's 1533-position model. The record is from RNAcentral.